UGACCGCUAGCGAUAGCUUUACCACAUGCGAGUCGAGGGCAGCGAUGGUAGCAAUACCUGUCGGCGACCGGCGCACGGGUGAGUAACGCGUAUGUAACCUGCCCGCAACAGAGGGAUAACCCGGCGAAAGUCGGACUAAUACCUCAUAAAACAGGGGUUCCGCAUGGGGCUAUUUGUUAAAGAUUUAUUGGUUGCGGAUGGGCAUGCGUACCAUUAGGUAGUUGGUGAGGUAACGGCUCACCAAGCCAUCGAUGGUUAGGGGUUCUGAGAGGAAGGUCCCCCACACUGGUACUGAGACACGGACCAGACUCCUACGGGAGGCAGCAGUGAGGAAUAUUGGUCAAUGGGCGAGAGCCUGAACCAGCCAAGUCGCGUGAAGGAUGACUGCCCUAUGGGUUGUAAACUUCUUUUACAGGGGAAUAAAAUGAGAUACGUGUAUUUUAUUGCAUGUACCUUGUGAAUAAGCAUCGGCUG
RNAcentral lists this ribosomal RNA (474 nucleotides) under Tannerella forsythia. Its description in RNAcentral is "bacterial SSU rRNA". It matches the Rfam family "Bacterial small subunit ribosomal RNA", at positions 30 to 499 of the family's 1533-position model. The record is from RNAcentral. Lineage: Bacteria; Pseudomonadati; Bacteroidota; Bacteroidia; Bacteroidales; Tannerellaceae.